This 1967-nucleotide ribosomal RNA is filed under the name Streptococcus infantis. Its description in RNAcentral is "partial 23S ribosomal RNA". It matches the Rfam family "Bacterial large subunit ribosomal RNA", at positions 1 to 1928 of the family's 2925-position model. The record is from RNAcentral. Lineage: Bacteria; Bacillati; Bacillota; Bacilli; Lactobacillales; Streptococcaceae.
CCGCAAGAUACCACGGUCGCACGGCGGAUGCCUUGGCACAGGGAGCCGAUGAAGGACGCGGCAAGCUGCGAUAAUCCCCGGCGAGGAGCACACAUCCUUCGACCCGGGGGUCUCCGAAUGGGCGAACCCAUGCACAGCGGUGUGCAUAUCCCCACCCCGAACACAUAAGGGUGGGGAGGACAACCCGGGGAACUGAAACAUCUAAGUACCCGGAGGAGAGGAAAUCAAUCUCGAGACUCCCCGAGUAGCGGCGAGCGAAAGGGGACCGAUGGCCAAACCGUCGAGCGGGCAUACCCGGCAGGGGUUCCGCCGACGGGGUUGCAGGGCCGCGCAUCCGGGGGCUGCCGCCCCCGGGCGCAGGUCCGGCUGGGGAGCGGAACGGCAUGGGAGGGCCGGCCGCAGCGGGUGACAGCCCCGUACGCGAACCCAGACCGGACGGCGCGACGCGGUCCCUGAGUAGGGCCGGGCACGUGAAACCCGGUCCGAACCUGGGUGGACCACCAUCCAAGCCUGAGUACUACCCUGUGACCGAUAGCGCACCAGUACCGUGAGGGAAAGGUGAAAAGCACCCCGGGAGGGGAGUGAAACAGUACCUGAAACCGUGCGCCCACGAGCAGUCGGAGCAACUUUUAGUUGUGACGGCGUGCCUUUUGUAGAAUGAGCCAGCGAGUCGCUGGCGCGGGGCGAGGUUAACCGAAAGGGAGCCGGAGCGAAAGCGAGCCUUAACAGGGCGACUUGAGUCCCGCGCCGCGGACGCGAAGCCGGGUGAGCUAUCCGUGGGCAGGCUGAAGCGGGGGUAAGACCCCGUGGAGGGCCGAACGCACGUCGGUUGAAAACGGCGGCGAUGACCUGCGGAUAGGGGUGAAAGGCCAAUCAAACCCGGAGAUAUCUCGUUCUCCCCGAAAUAGCUUUAGGGCUAGCGUCGCGCGUUCACCGCCGGAGGUAGAGCACCGGAUGGACGAGGGGGCUUCGCCGCCUACCGAAUCCAACCGAACUCCGAAUGCCGGCGGCCCAGAGCGCGGCAGUCAGAGCAUGUGGGCUAAGCUGUGUGCUCGAGAGGGAAACAGCCCGGACCGCCCGCUAAGGUCCCCAAGUUCCAGCCGAGUGGCAAAGGAUGUGCGUCCGCCCAGACAACCAGGAUGUUGGCUUAGAAGCAGCCAUCCAUUCAAAGAGUGCGUAACAGCUCACUGGUCGAGUGGACAUGCGCCGACAAUACACGGGGCUAAGCUGGACACCGAAGCGGCGGGAUUUUAAUUCAUUAGAAUCGGUAGGGGAGCUUCCCAUGGGCGGAGAAGCCGGAGGGCGACCGACGGUGGAGCGCAUGGGAGUGAGAAUGCUGGCAUGAGUAGCGAGAGACGAGAGAGUAACUCGUCCGCCGUGAACCCGAGGUUUCCUGGGCAAGGCUAAUCCUCCCAGGGUCAGUCGGGGGCUAAGGCGAGGCCGGGAGGCGUAGCCGACGCGCAGCAGGCAGACAUUCCUGCACCGCGCACGCGGCGCUACGACCGACGGGGCGACGGAUGGGGGUGGCUCGGCGGGGUUCUGGACGUCCCCGUGAUGGAGCGCGGCCCGCGGACCAGGGAAAUCCGGUCCGCAUUGAGGGCGAGGCUCCGGACGAAGCGACUGAGCGAAGCGAGUGAGCCCGAGGUCCCUAGAAAAACCCCUAGGCAGGCGCGUGCGCGCCCGUACCGCAAACCGACACAGGUGGGUGGGUAGAACAUACCGAGGCGAUCGGGUCAACCAUGGUCAAGGAACUCGGCACAAUGGCCCCGUAACUUCGGGAGAAGGGGUGCCCGCGCGUACGUGAACCGGCUUGCCCGGGGAGCGGAGGCGGGCCGCAGUGGAGAGGCCCAAGCGACUGUUUACCAAAAACACAGGACUCUGCAGAAGCCGCAAGGCGACGUAUAGGGCAGGCGUCACACCGUAUACGUCCACUUUCGUGUUUGCACAGUGCUGUGUUUUUAAUAAAC